AUUGAACGCUGGCGGCAGGCCUAACACAUGCAAGUCGAACGAGUGGCGGACGGGUGAGUAAUGUCUGGGAAACUGCCCGAUGGCGGGGGAUAACUACUGGAAACGGUAGCUAAUACCGCAUACCAUCGGAUCGGCCCAGAGGGGAUUAGCUAGUUGGUGGGGUAAAGGCUCACCGAGGCGACGAUCCCUAGCUGGUCUGAGAGGAUGACCAGCCACACUGGAACUGAGACACGGUCCAGAAUCCUACGGGAGGCAGCAGUGGGGAAUUUUGCACAAUGGGGGAAACCCGGAUGCAGCCAUGCCGCGUGUAUGAUGAAGGCCUUCGGGUUGUAAAGUACUUUCAGCGGGGAGGCGUUACUCGCAGAAGAAGCACCGGCUAACUCCGUGCCAGCAGCCGCGGUAAUAC
Molecule: ribosomal RNA, 406 nt
Filed under: uncultured bacterium
Lineage: Bacteria
Description: partial 16S ribosomal RNA
Rfam family: Bacterial small subunit ribosomal RNA
Source: RNAcentral